CAGCCGCCACGGUAAUACGUAGGUCCCGAGCGUUGUCCGGAUUUAUUGGGCGUAAAGCGAGCGCAGGCGGUUAGAUAAGUCUGAAGUUAAAGGCUGUGGCUUAACCAUAGUACGCUUUGGAAACUGUUUAACUUGAGUGCAGAAGGGGAGAGUGGAAUUCCAUGUGUAGCGGUGAAAUGCGUAGAUAUAUGGAGGAACACCGGUGGCGAAAGCAGCUCUCUGGUCUGUAACUGACACUGAGGCUCGAAAGCGUGGGGAGCGAGCAGGAUUAGAUACCCCCGUAGUCCCUGUCUCUUAUACA
RNAcentral lists this ribosomal RNA (301 nucleotides) under uncultured bacterium. Its description in RNAcentral is "partial 16S ribosomal RNA". It matches the Rfam family "Bacterial small subunit ribosomal RNA", at positions 509 to 808 of the family's 1533-position model. The record is from RNAcentral.